GGGGAUAUAGCUCAGUUGGUAGAGUGCUUGCCUAGCAUGCACAAGGCUCUGGGUUCAAUCCCCAGCACCACCA
RNAcentral lists this transfer RNA (73 nucleotides) under Ictidomys tridecemlineatus (thirteen-lined ground squirrel). RNAcentral's name for it is "Spermophilus tridecemlineatus (thirteen-lined ground squirrel) tRNA". It matches the Rfam family "tRNA". Rfam says of the family: Transfer RNA (tRNA) molecules are approximately 80 nucleotides in length. Their secondary structure includes four short double-helical elements and three loops (D, anti-codon, and T loops). Lineage: Eukaryota; Metazoa; Chordata; Mammalia; Rodentia; Sciuridae. The record is from Rfam by way of RNAcentral.